ACAUAGUUUGGGCAAGUAUUAAAGCAGGAAAUCCAACAUAUGCUUUGGUUAGAAAAACACCUGGCAAUGUUAACAAGCCAAAGCUUAUUACAGCUGCUAAUCCUGAAACCAAGGAAGAGCUUAUUGAUAAUUACCAAUCUUUAGGAGUUAUUCUACUUGAAGUAAGUGAUUUCAAUUUCUGAAAUAAUUUUAUAUUUUAUACUAAUUAAAUUUUUCUAAUCAAUAUGUCUUUGACUCUGCAGGGUGAUAUAAAUGAUCAUGAAACUCUUGUUAAGGCAAUCAAGCAAGUUGAUAUUGUGAUUUGUGCUGCUGGUAGACUACUAAUUGAGGAUCAGGUCAAGAUUAUUAAAGCAAUUAAAGAAGCUGGAAACGUUAAGGUGAGCAAAUUUGUCACUACACCACACUAAAUAAGUUCAAAUAAGUCAAUCUAAAUAAACUAUUAAGUAAUAGCUCCUUUGCUGGUUAGAUUUCGGCUUGUUAUAUUGAAUGUUGGUACUAAAUUUCUUGUGUCUACAGAAAUUUUUCCCAUCCGAAUUUGGGCUAGACGUGGACCGUCACGAGGCAGUUGAGCCAGUUAGACAAGUUUUUGAAGAAAAAGCGAGUAUCCGAAGAGUAAUUGAAGCUGAAGGAGUUCCUUACACUUACCUUUGUUGCCACGCCUUUACCGGUUACUUCUUACGUAACUUGGCUCAACUCGACGUCACUGAUCCUCCUCGGGAUAAAGUUGUCAUUCUUGGAGAUGGAAAUGUGAAAGGUAGCAAACUUAUUCACAAAACAGUUUUAGUACUAGUAUUCUACUAAACAUACAUCAUUCAAUUGUUUCAACAUUUGCCUUAAUUUUUUUUUUUUUCAGGAGCUUAUGUCACUGAGGCUGAUGUUGGGACUUUUACCAUUAAAGCAGCAAAUGAUCCCAACACAUUGAACAAAGCUGUCCAUAUAAGACUCCCCAAAAAUUAUUUGACCCAAAAUGAGGUUAUUUCUCUUUGGGAGAAAAAGAUUGGGAAGACUCUUGAGAAAACUUAUGUUUCAGAGGAACAAGUUCUCAAGGAUAUUCAAGGUCAGUAAAAUAAACGCUUUAUAAAUAUUGUUAAGAAUUUUUACAAUGUUAAUCAAUCAAUAAAUCGUUAAAAUUAUUUGAUUUUAAUUAUAUCUAUGCUUACUACGCAGAAUCUUCAUUCCCUCAUAACUACUUGUUGGCAUUGUAUCAUUCACAACAAAUAAAAGGAGAUGCAGUUUAUGAGAUUGAUCCAACCAAAGAUAUUGAAGCUUCUGAAGCCUAUCCUGAUGUCACAUACACCACUGCUGAUGAAUAUUUGAAUCAAUUUGUCUAAGUUUGUCAUCCCGGAAAUGUUAAAUAAGACAAAGAUUAUUUUUUCUUAAUAGUUUCACAUGUUGUACCACAUCAAUUAUAUUGUUAGUUGUCCUUGUUGUCUUGUUCUCAAUAAACCUUCCAAUUGAUGUAAUAUUUUACAAAAAUAAUAAUAUUGUAUUGUUCUAUUGUUUGCACAUUUGUGUCACUAGUAUCACUCUAUUAUUUUGUUGUUGCCCGUGAAUGGGUGACUCAAUAAAUUAUUUAAUACCCACGUCAGGAUGGACCGAUCUACCGUAUGAAGCAAUAUUUGUUUGGUCUCGGUUAUAAAUUUAAAUUAUUUACACACAUGCAAAAGAAAAAAAGUAGAAAGAAUGAACCAAUAUUUUUUUAUUUUAUUUUUAUGGGGGUGUUUGUUUGGGAGAUAAAAAAUAUAUUCCUGGGUAUAAGGGCAUUAAAUAUGAUAUUCCUAUGUUUGGUAGAAGGGAACAAAAAUAAUAUACCCAGGAAUAAAUGAUUCCCAGGAAUCUUAUUUACCCGUUGACUCUCUAUUUUUAUUCCCGGGGGUGGGGGGCUGGAAUCUUCAAUUCCUGAGAAUGAAAUCUCCACAUUCAUGACGAAAACCCACCCAUACCCCUAUUUUACCCACGCUUCUUCCCUCCUAAUUUUUCCCACGCGUUUUCUAAAUUAAUAGAAACCCACAUAUAUAUAAACCCCUCUUUGCUCUCUCUUUUCACUCAUCUGGAUCCAGAUCCAUCCAUAACAGGUUUGUGUCUUAUGUUUUGUUUUGUUUUUUGCGUUUUUUUAACUGCUGGACAGAUUCUCGGCCUGCCAGGCUGCUGUACCAGCGGAGCUGGGCCGCGCAAAUGCGAGUUUCGGUGACUGACAUUCGAGCGGGCAUCCACCAUUCUGUUGCUGUUGCAUGUCAAAGGUGUUGGGCAGUCUGCCAACCUUCAAUUAAAUGGCGUGUAACAACUUGAAACAGGGUACUCUUGUUAUGUAUUAAAAAACAAGUAUAUACCCUGACCAAUACCUUUGUUGACUCGCAUAAUUUACUUUGCUUGAUUAAAAAUAACAUGAAAAAUAUUAUUUUUCAUCAAUUUAAUGUAAAAGGGUAUUUUAAUAAUUUUGACAUUUAUUCCUGGGAUUAUACAUUUUAAACCAAACAUAUUUUUAGUAUUCCCAGGAAUUUAGAAAGAAAGUUCCAAGGAAUUCAAAUUGGUAACCAAACACUUUUUUAAAAUAUUCCUAGGAAUAUAAUUCCAAGGAAUAUAUUCCUGGGAAAAUUAUUCCAGGGAAUAAUUUUUGCAUCUGUGAAACAAACGGCCCCUAUAUUAUUGAAAUAAGUGCCCUAAAGGCAUUUGUUAGCAUUCUCCUUAAAAUAAUUAUAUGAUGUGUAUUUUGAUUGUGCACUUAAAUGAUUUGAAUUUGUGGUUGUGACUAUAUAAAAAUUAUUCGACGGCAUGAUCAACAGACCGUGUGAACAAUUGAAAUAUAUUAAAUAAUCAUGUUCAGACAUCCCUUACUUGUAGAGGUGUCAAAUGGACUGGACAACCCAGUUCGGCUUAAGAGUUUUGACUACAUAAAUGAACCAGUCUGACCAAGCCCAUUUGUAAUUGGGCCGCAUAAAAUAUAAUUGAAUGGAUAUAGAAGUAUAAAUAUUUUUUACAUUACCAUUAAAUACUAAUUAAACUCUAGAUUUAUUUCUUCAAUUGAAUCAAAUUAAUACUACAUCCGUCCAUAAUUAUAGGAUCCUUUUGAAAAAUAACAGGAAUUAAGAAAAUUAAAAGUGAUAAUAAAUUUGUUUUUAAUUACAAUUGUUUUUACAAAUUUGUCUUUUAAGAGUGGGUUAGUCCGUUAAUGUAUGUUUACAAUGUAGUAUUUAAUGAUGAUUGAAGAAAAAGAUAUACAAUAAAUAGGGGUAUGGUGGUAAAGAAUUAAUUAAUAUAUUUGGAAAUAGCAAAGAGAUUUUUAUAAAAAGAGACAAAAAAAUUCUCAAAAGGGUCCUAUAAUUAGGGACAGAGACAGUAGUUUAUAAACUUUAGAAUUUUAAAACUUUGAACUAAAUUUAUGCAUUUUUAUUAAGUUGACUUAUUUCAAUAUAUUUUAUUAAUAAAUUUUUAAAGUAGUUGAUAAUGUUUUUAAAAAAUAUAGCGUUUUUUAACAAAAAUAAAAUAAAAGUAUAGAUAGUAGGUCGGUCCGAAGUCCGAUAGGUUAGCCUGACUCGGCCCCAUUUUCAUAUGGAUCAAAUGAGCUAAGGUAAAAAAAAAUACGAGAGUAUUUUUAGUUAGGUUUGUGGUUCGGCCCAAAAUGUGUCAUUUUUUAUGUCUCUACUUACUAGCCAUCUCACCAUUAACAACGAUUUGUCAACUAAACAAUGUCAUCUUCUUUUCUAUUAAAGUUAACCCGGAAGCCCUAAUUUUAACCUAAACUAUAUUGCAUAAAUUUACUGUUUUAACCCUAAUGCUUAAUUCCUUUGUUUAAUCCUAUUAACCCUAUUUCUUGGUUGAAACAAAUUGAACCUAAUCUCCUAUUUUCUUGAAUAAAACAAAUUGGCCCUAUUUCUUCAACAAAACAAAUCGCUUUAUUUCUUGCUUUAAAAAAGAAACAACAACUCAAGUUGGGAUACUCUACUUGACCUAGAAGAGAAAUAACGGAAAGAAGAACUUGCCUUUUUGAGAACUUAUUGUCGGAACUCGGAAGCAAUGGUGAUCUGCUAAGUUUAUGGCGAGUUCGAUUGAUUAUGAGCUGCUAAGUUCGAUUGAGUAAGAGUUCGAUUGAUUAUGAGUUGCGAAGUUCCAUUGAGUAACAGGCAACAAAUCCUUCUUCUCAUGGCGGUAGGGAUGAGAGAUUUUGCUUACAACAAAUUAAUGGCAUGAUCAUAGGAAAGAGAUUUUAGUUUCUAGGUUUAGUAAGAACAAUGGGAUGAGAAAUGAUGAGGUAGAGUUGCAUGUGAAGAUAUGAUGAGGGAGAUAAAGAUGUUGAUAGGUUUUGGAAUAGGAAAGUAAUUUUUAUGAGAGAGGUUGACUACAGCUAUAAAAUAAAUGAUAAUUAUAUUUAUUUGAUACUUCCUAAAUGUUGUUACUUGAGAGUUAAAACGAUCUCUUUCCUGUGCAAACUAAAAAAUAAAGAGAAUAUAUGAAUUUUUAAUUCCAGCUAUUUUUUAUUCUUUUUUUUUUUUGUCUUUGAAAAUUGAUCUUUAAACUUCAUUAUUUGAAAAAAUCGAUUAUUUAUACUUUAACUAUUUUUAUUAAACUUAAUGUCUACUAAAAAUACAAUCUUAUUUCUUCUUAAUUUUUUAACACGUGAUCAAAAUUAUAUCUUUUUGUGUCUUUUGCUCCAACUUCCCUCUAUUUUUGCUUUCUUAAAAACAAAUUAAAACAAACUCACUCGAUAGAAUUCACUAACUUAAUCUUUUUUUAAAGAAAAAACAAGCUUAAUCUUAAUAAAUAUAUAAAGAGUUAAAAAUAAUUUACAAUCUAUUUUCUUUCUCUUUCUCUAAUUAUGAAGUUAAUGACCGAUAAAAACAAAUUUUUGCCUCAUCUUAAUAUUUUGACACCUCAACAUAUAUUUAUCUUUGUAUGUCUUUUGUAACAAAAUAUCCUAUUUCGCUGAGGGAGAAAAUAACUUUCAAAAGAUUGAUGUGAUUUUAUAACAAAAAAUUCAUUUUAUAUUGAUAUAUCUAUACAAUCUAAAAUAUUUGAAUACCGGACAAAUUACUCUUAAAAAAAAAAAUCAUCGGCAAAUUAUAAUAACCUCCCUUAAGAUCUUCUUAAAUACUAACCUUCCUUAAGGUCUUCUUAAUUGAAAAGCACUUCCCCUAUAAUAUAACACGGUUUAAACUUCGUUCAUUCUAUUUUUUUUAGCAAUUAACUUCUCCAUACGAGUAUAAACUCACUUAAUUUUUCGACCAUUUUUUCUUUCCAUUUUUCACUUUAGUGAUUUUCUCAACUUAUUGUUCCUCAAUUAAGGUGAUUUAAUUUUUAAACUCUAAUAUAAUAAAACGGAUAUAUCAAAGAUUAUUUUCUUUUCAUUGAUCAACUGCAAUGUCCAUCCACUAAAAUUCUUCUCAUUUCUAUAUUCUCUCCUGAUCUCUUAUGUAAUUGCCGAUGUUUGAUUCUAUUUGGCGGUAUGAACAAAUGUUGUUAUUGUUUCUUCAUUGCGAGAAAAAAACUCAUUUAAACAUAAUUGUGAAAAGAGAAAUUAGAUACAAACAAACCAAAAUGACUGAAAUUAAAUUGUAUAUUUACAAAGUUAUUGAAAUGGAAAAAAUGUGGGAAGAUUGAUGUGUUGGAAAAUUAGAAGGCGUGCUUGUGUUAUUUAAGAAAAUCUCAAGGGAUGUCAAUGUAAUUUACCCUUUUAUCAUUAAUGUUGACUUUAUCAUUAGUUUUUUCUUAUUUUUUCAAUUCAUAUAGCAUUGCAAUGCGCUUUGAUGCAUACCCCCGCUUCAAAUUAGCUCGUGCGGAGAGCACGGGUUUGUUGCUAGUUGAUAUAAAUAAUGUGAUUGAUGUCACUUUCAGUUAGCCCCCAAAACUUUGCAUAAAGGGUGAUUCACUGUCAAUUAAAAUUUCUGAAGAUUUAUACCAAGUAGGGUUGGAAAAAUACAAGAACGAAUUGCAUGGUAGAUUUAAGUUGUAAAGGAGGAUAUGCCACCAUGGUCGUAUCUGAGGUAGGAUAAAGAGAACGACUGUACUAGACUUCAAAAAAUAAGUUCAAAAAAAUACAAAAAUAAUACUUAAAAGUUUAGUUCUUUGUUGGCACAUAUCUAGAAAUGCUUGUAGAAAUUGUUUUGUAUGAGCAUUUAAAUAUUAAAUAAAAAAUCAUAAUUUUAUACGAAGUUUGAUAUUUUUAUUAGAUUAUUUCUUAGCGUAAUAAAAACCAUCAUUUUCAAGUAAAUUAUUUUCACACUUUAGAAAUUCAAUUUUUUUAUAUGCUUAUUAUUUAAGACUCAAAUUGUAGAUUUACCCUUAGGACACCAAAAUCUUAGAAACGAACAUGUAUGUCACUCAAGUCGGAUGACCUUCAAUUCAAAUUAGCCAAAUUAUUGAAAUCAUUAUGUCAUUGAAAAAAUGAUACCACUAGGUAAGGGUUUUUACGAAAUUUCAUUUAGUUUCUAAAGAGGGUUUAAGAAGGACAUGGAUUAUGGGAGCACAAUCUUUGCAUUUGGGUAUCUUGUCUUUGCUUCGAUGGACACCAGAUUUCAGUUUAAGGAAACGAAGACAAACAAAUGUAGAAUGUUGUUAUCUCCAGUUAUACUUCCUUCAAUUUGUGAGUAAGUAAAAUUAUGGCUUAAUUACCUAUUUUGUUUCUUUCACUGAAUUACAUAAAACAUGUGACAUGUCUAAAAGAAAUUCAAUUUGGCUAUCAACAUUGUUGAAUGUGACUUAAACUUUCAUGUUUGAAUGGUGAAAAAAUGGUUUGCUAUUGUCCAAUAUGAAAGGCAUAUCCGGUGGUGAGGCGCAAGGCAUACUCUGGGUGUUUUUAUCACAUUUCGGUUCUGUCCCACAUGCCUUGCGCAUGGAGCAACAUGCAAGGCGCAUCCUGGAUAUGCUAACUUGAUGCAAGGUGCCUACAUCAGGUACAUCAUCUAUGAUUUCCAGUUUUCUCAUUCUUUUGUGAUUAAUCUUAUGAAACUAAAGAAGAUAGCUCUUAAGUAUCUUAGAGGCUAAAAGUAGAGGGUCUUUGUGUGAGAUUUUUAGGUUGGGCGGGAAACACAUUGUAAAUUUGAAUGUUGGCAACAAGUUAUGCAAGCUGAACUUUCUGCUCUUGAGACUCCUGGUACAUGGAAAAUUGUGGAUUUACCAUAAAAUGUGAAACAAAUAGGUUACAGAUGGAUUUAUAAGAUCAAACAUUAUGUUGAUGGAUCUAUUGAGAGGUACAAAGCCAGACUUAUUGCAAAAGGGUACAAUAUUUGAUAGAAAGACUUGAUUAUUUUAUCGCAUACUCACCAGUUGAUGUAAUAUUUUAGAAAAAUAACAAUAUUGUAUUUUGUUCUAUUGUUUGCACAUUUCACAUUUGUGUCACUAGUGUUCAGUUUUGAAAAUUUUACAUCACUCUAUUAUUUUAUUGUUGCCCGUGAAUGGGUGACUCAAAAACUUAUUUAAAACACACGUCAGGAUGGACCGAUCUAUACCACAUGAAGCAAUUUUAUUUAUUUAUUUUAAACAAUGUACCUUUUGGACAUUGUGUGGUCACAAAUUCUUCAAAAAUAAAAUUUAAAUUAUUUACACAUAUGCAAAUGAAAAAAUUAGAAAAAAAAGAAGCGAUAUCUUUUAUUAUCAUUUUUUUGAAGAGACUAAAAUGAAUUAUAUUACCACCACGAAAGUCUUCCUAGCACAAGGGAUGUCAAGGAAUAAAAACCUCAAAGUCAAACAAAAUAAUAAAUUACAACAAGGCAAAAGCCAUCACCACAAAACAACCUGAAACAACACAACAAUUAUCCUAUGCCUAGUAAAGUGAACGAACUAAGCCACCAACCAUGAUAGUUAAAAUGAAGAGUAGCAUACUUCGCCUUCAACCACUUGAAUGUUAGCAACUUAAUCCUAUCCACCACCUGCAUAAUGGCGCUAUCAUUAGCAUUAAAAAUUAUGUUGUUUCUUUCCUUCCAUAUUUCCCACAUAGUCGCAAACCAAAUCACCUGAAGAAUAGAUUGCCUCGACUUAGAGCCACCGCUUAAAAAACUGAAUUGAAUAAAAUGCCCCGAAACAUCUAAAGGCAUCGCUGUAGCUAUACCAAUCCAUUGAUAUAUAUAAUUCCAAACCGAUCCAAAAAGACUACAAUGUAAGAAUAAAUGGUUUUAUGUUUCAACAAAACCGCAUCCACCAACACAAAUUUGAGCGUCAAAAUCUAAAACAUGACGCCUAUGAAGAUUAACCUUUGUAGGAAGCCGGUCACGAAAUACACGCCACGCAAAAAGCACCACCUUCAAAGGGACAUCCUUAUGCCAAAAAGAAGGCAAACGCACCACAUUAUCAACAUGAACCUGCGCCAUGAGAGUAGUGUCUGCACUUUUUACUGUAUAACAGGAAGUAGGAUCCGCGUUCCACUUCCAAAAAUCCUUUAUGUGAACCUGAAAAGAAACAUUUUGAAGUAAAAGCCUAAGCUCCCCUACCGACUCUUCCUCCCAAGCCCACAGCCUACGCCUCCACCUCCACGCCCCACCCUCCUCCUCCCACCCUAACGCUCUCAUCGCUGCAACAGACUCCUCCUUUAGAAGCGACAACUCAUACAACCUACUAAAUCUAUCCCGAAGCGACACUCGCUUCACCCAAACAUCCGUCCAAAACAAGACACUAGACCCAUCACCCAAAGAACGACUAAUAUUAUUAUUAAACCAGCCCUCAGAUCGCAAGGCCACUAUACUUCGCCACCACGCGGAACCAUCACGACCUCCACUACACAAGUGACCGCCCUCCAAACCAUUUCGCGCCGCUAACACCCUAAACCACAGACUAUCCCUAUCCACCAACACCACUUCCCUAAUAAUGCUAAAUUAAAUUCUUUAAUUCUCCUAACCCCCAAACCUCCAACUUCCUGACUCCGACAAACAGAAUUCCAAUCAACCCAAAUAAUUUUCCUGUGGUCUGCACUCCCCCCCCCCCCAAAAAAAAUUAUUUAAAAUAGAUUCAAUAGAAGAAACAAUACCUGACGGAGCCUUGAAAAAAGAAAGAGCAUAAACAGGCAGGGACGAUAGGACGGACUUCAGUAGAACCAACCGGCCACCCAAAGACAAGUGUUUCGACUUCCAACCCAACAAUCUAGACUUAAGACGGAAUGAUUUAUAUUUUGUAUAUGUACCUAAAUGAUUUGAAUUCGUGGUUGUGACCACACAAAACUUAUCCGACAGAAUGAUCAAUAGACUAUGUAGACAAUUGAAAUAUAUUAAAUAAUCAUUUUCGGAUAUCCCUUACUUUGUAGAGGUGUCAAAUGAAUUGAUCCGACUCAGUCCGGACUGAGAGGUCCGACUACAUAAUUUGGUCAGAACGACCCAACCCAUUUGUAACUGGACCGCAUAUUAUAGAGCCCGACCUGAUCUAUAGGUCAUGGACCAACCCGACCCGUUUAUUUAUUUAUUCACUUUUUUUUCUUUCUUUUUUUUUAUGUAUUUUUUAUAUAUUAGUUACCCACAACAAUCUUUUUUCUCAAAUAUGAUUGGAUGAACAUAGAAAUGCAAAUAAUUUUUACAUUAACAUUAAAUACUAAUUAAACUUGAGAUUUAUUCCUUCAAUUGAUUCAAUUAAUAAUUUAUAAACUUUAGAAUUUUAAAUCUUUGAGCUAAAUUUAUCCGAUUUUAUUAAGUUUACUUAUUUAAUUUUUUUUUUUAUUAAUGACUAUUAAAGCAGUUGAUAAAGUCUUAAAAAAUAUAGCGUUUUUAACAAAAAUCAAAUGGAAAUAUUGAUAGUGGACCGGUCCGAAGCCUGAUAGGUUAGCCCGACUCGGCCUAUUUUUAUAUGAAAAUUACUCUUCUUCCUUUUAAAAUUGUUUAUUCUCUUAAGAUCGGUUGACCCGACUGAAAAUGUGAUUGAAUCGAUUUUAAAAGUGUUAGCAAGAGUUAACUACCGCUGAAAAAUACCUAACGUGAGUUAACUUCCGCUUAUAUAAGAGAAUGAUCAAUUUUGAAAGGAAUAAGAGCAAUUUUCUUUUUAUAUGGGUCAAAUGAGUUACGGUCAAAAAAGUCCGAAAAAUGCUCUUCUCUCAAAAAGAUUUGCUCACUUCCAACCAAACUUACAAAAAUACUCCACAUAAGUUAAGUCACACAUAUAUUAAACUCAGCAUGACUUAACUCACGUUAAAAAUUUAAACUGAACUGCAACAUAAAUUAACUCACCUUAGUUUUCUUUCUCAAGUUUCACAUGAAAAUCUUGCUCCUGCUAAGAUGCUUAUUUAAUUAUUUAAUAUAUUGCUGUUGAUAUGAUUGUGUGUACCUGUCGCAGUAAUGCAAAGUAGAAGGUAUCCAGCAUGACCCAUACCAUGAUGCUAGCAGCAGUACACACGUGUGUUGUUAGGACAGCAAGAGAUGCAAUGGUCCAUACACCCAUUUAAACCAUUAUAAGCAUUGGAGGAGCAAGAUUUUCAUGUGAAAAUUGAGAAAGAAAACCAGCGUCAGUUAACUUACGAUGGGAUUUAGUGUGAGUUUUUAGCAUGGCUUAAGUCACGUAGGUUGUAUUCCAGUAUGAUUUAAGUAAGUUGGGUUUAACACUUGCGUGAUUUAACUCACGCGAGGAUAUUUUCAAAAAUUUGGUUGAGAAUAAACAAAUCUUGUUGAAAAAAGAGCAUUUUUCAAAAAGUCCGAAUGCAUUUUGGGCCGUCUUUUUUAGAUCCAGCCCAAAAUGUGUUAGUUUUUGCAAUCUCUACCUACUUGCCAUCUCACUAUUAACAACGAUUUAUCAACUAAACUAAACAAUGCCAUUUUUUAUACAUGCACUAAAUAAUGUGAUUGAUGUCACUGUCACACAACCCCCAAAACUUUGCAUAAAGGGGGAUUCAUUGUCAAUAAAAAUUCCUAGGAUUUAUACCAACCAGGGUUGGAAAAAUACAAAAACAAACUGCAUGGUAGAUUUACGCUGCAAAGAGGGAUAUGCCAUGGCCGUAUCUUAGGCAGGGCAAAGAGGACGAUCAUACUAGUUCUCACAUAAUAACUUCAAAUUUAGAUCUCAAAAUUCAAAAAUAAUAUUUAAAUAUUUAGUUCUUUGUUGGCACAUAUCUAAAAAUGCUCAUAGAAAUUGUUUUGUAUGAGUAAUUAAUAUUAAAUAAAAAAUUUCAAUAUUUUAUAUGAAGUCCAAUGUUUUAUUAGAUUAUUUCUUAGCGUAAUAAAAACUAUUAUUUUCAAGCAAAUUUUUUUCACAUUUUAGAAAUUCAAUUUUUUGUAUAUAUUUAUUAAUUAUGAUCCAAAUUGUAGGUUUAUCUUUAAACCACCAAAAUCUUAGAAACGGGCUUGUAUGCAUCUCAAGUCGGACGACCUUCAAUUCAAAUUAGUCAAAUUAUAGAAACCAUUAUGCCGUUGAAAAGAGGCUUUAAGAAGGACCUGAAUUCUGAGAGCACAGACUUUAUAUUUGGGUAUCUUGUGUUUGCUUCAGUGGACACCACACUUCAAUCUAUGGAAACAAAGACAAACAAAUGUACAAUGUUGUUAUCACCAAUUAUAUUUCCUUCAAUUUGCAAAGAAGUAAAAUCAUGGCUUAAUUACAUAUUUAGUUCCUUUCACUGAAUUACAUAAAACAUUUGACAUGUCUUAAAGAAAUCCAAUUUGGCUAUCAACAUUGUUGAAUGUGACUUAAACUUUCAUGUUUGAAUGGUGAAAAAAUGGUUUGUUAUUGUCCAAUAUGCAAGGCAUAUGCGGUGGUGAGGCGCAAGGAGCAUCCUGGAUCUGCUGACUGUGCGCAAGGUGUCUGCAUCAAGUCCAAUAUCUAUGGAAUUUCAGUUUUCUCAUCCUUUUGUGGUUGUGAAACUAAACAAGAUAGCUUUUAAGAAUCUUAGAGACUAACAGUUGAGUUGAGGGUUUUAAGUAAGAUUUUUAGGUUGUGAAACUCAUUAUAAAUAUUUUGGAGAUUAAAAGUAGUUGAGUCUCUUGAUCACAAAAAGAUAUAGAAAAAUGGGUAAAAAUUAGAUUGUUCAUAGAGAACUUGUUCAAGCUAAUUUUUUAUAACUUAUUUUUAUCAUUUGUAAGAAUUAAACUCAUUUAUUGGGAAUUGGAGAGUUGCAUUUUCCCAUAUGUAGGUUAUUAUUGUUGGACCAAACUGAAAACCAAAUCUUGAUGUGUUUAUUUCUCUACUCUCUUUAUUUUGUUGUUGUUGCUUUGAUUGUGGAUUUUCUUUACGCUUUUUUGUUACAUCGACAAUUAUAAAAAAUUAACAAUCUAUUGAAACUCAUUUCAAGCGCUCUAAGUGUUUAAGAACAAUUUAUGUUGAGUGAUUAAACACAUUUUUUUUUGUAAUAGCUGUAUAUAUCUAUCAAAUGAAGACAAAUUCUUUGUAUUUUUUUCUUUUUAUUUAUUAUAUUUACUUUUUGCUUAAAAAAAACGAAGAGAAAUUCAACAUGCAGGUUGUGUGGUGUCAUUGUUGAAAAAUUGUGAAGUAUAGGUUUCAAGUUGAAUAUUAAAAAAUCCUUAAAAAGUUAGAUGUAUCAUCGAUAAUUUGGAUUAUAGAUGGAUGAUACGAUGGAUACAUACUCAACCAAAUUGUUUUCGUAAGCUGAGUUUUUUGUAUAUAUAUAUUACAACUGACUAGUAGUAUGUUUUAUGCGGAGUUAAUAGACUUAAGAGAAGGUGUCAAUCUUGACCAACAGGGGCUACUUCUAAUUCAACAAUAAUGGAAUAUUAUUAAAUUUGGUCACCAAAACACACAGAGAGUAGUAGAUAGAUGGAAGUUGGUGGCAAUCCAAAUUAGUCCUAUAAAUAUCAAACAAAGUAUAGUUUAUUCAUAACACACUCACUACUACUUUGGUAACUUACUCAGAACAAGAAAAAACAGACACACAUAAACACACUUGUUUUUUUACUAAAGUUAUUUUUUCUUCCAAUGGCAACUGAAAACAAAAUCCUGAUCCUAGGACCAACAGGAGCUAUUGGAAGACACAUAGUUUGGGCAAGUAUUAAAGCAGGAAAUCCAACAUAUGCUUUGGUUAGAAAAACACCUGGCAAUGUUAACAAGCCAAAGCUUAUUACAGCUGCUAAUCCUGAAACCAAGGAAGAGCUUAUUGAUAAUUACCAAUCUUUAGGAGUUAUUCUACUUGAAGUAAGUGAUUUCAAUUUCUGAAAUAAUUUUAUAUUUUAUACUAAUU
Molecule: long non-coding RNA, 13087 nt
Filed under: Medicago truncatula (barrel medic)
Lineage: Eukaryota; Viridiplantae; Streptophyta; Magnoliopsida; Fabales; Fabaceae
Description: long non-coding RNA (MTRU_LNC002865)
Source: RNAcentral